Taeniopygia guttata (zebra finch) is the source of this 5809-nucleotide long non-coding RNA. Lineage: Eukaryota; Metazoa; Chordata; Aves; Passeriformes; Estrildidae. The record is from Ensembl.
AACCAAAACCUUUUAUUUAAAGUCACUUUAUAAAUUACAUUUUCUCAAAAGCAGUAGCAACAGAUCUUUUACCAAAUUAAUUUUCCUGUCAUGCAAAAACAACCCAAAAGGAAAAUUUGGCUACCCAGUCCUCAAACAGAUCCAUCACUGGAUAGCCACUGAUUAAUUCAAAUGCAAAGUCCAUUUUGACAGGAUGAUCACAACCCAGAUCUUCUCUGGUUUAAUAACAUGAGAGUCCACGUUUUAACAUCCUUUUCUUGGACAGACAUCCCAGCACUCAUGCAUUAGUCCAUUUCCUCAACCUCUCAUUCCCCAGUGGAACUGCCAUCUUGGUGUCUCAUUCGUAGACUCCUUUUGACACUCUUCAUCUGAAUGGAUUCUUUAUGAAAAAUUAGAAGAAAAAUGCUGUUGGAAUACACAUCAUUGCUUUAAACUAAGACAUUCAACUACUGUACCUUGAAGAUAAUUUAAACAUGUAACUGAUGCCUCAUUCCAUGUUACACAAUCCACAAUAUCUAAUUUUAUCAGAAACAGUAUCAAAUAAUCAAUUCAAGAAUCAAAAAAAGAAAGUUUAACCAAAAUGAUUAAAAAAUGAGAGAAAAUAUCAGAAGUCCAAGAAGCCUUUCAGGAUCCCUUAAUUCAAUUUGAAAUUUUUAAACCACUAGAGAAAUCUGUGGUGGGAACUCAAAGAAAUUUGCUCUUGCAACCAUUUGUGUUGCACUGGCCCUUCCCCUGAAGCUGACAUUGCUUAGUAGAACACCAAGGUUCUUGUAACAACCCAAAACUUGUAAGUACUUUUCAAGCUCCUUUCUUCGAAGACACAGAUCCAUCAAAACCAAUGAAAUCUGGUUUCUUACAGACAGAUGGUGACUGGACACAAGACAUUCCACCAUCUUAAUGCAGUUUUCCAGCUCAUGAAAGAUGUACAGUGCAACAGCAAACACACAAGCAAAUGGAACGACUGGUUUGGUUCCUGGUGGGAAAGGACACACCAGAAACCAGACAAAAAUGGUCACAAGUCACACUAAGCUACCUUUAGCAAGGCUCCUGAGCCAUAUUCCAACUGUACUCAUCAUGGAACUGCAACCAAGCCCAUAGGUGAGUGAUACACCAAACUGAAUAAUCAGCAUCCACGUGGAUAAAUACAAACCCAAUGUUCCCAUCUUCCUAUCUUCUUCCAAGAAAUAUAAGCUCAAUUCACUUCAAGUAAAACCUGACUCCUCCUCACAUGCAAAACUUAGGUACAGGAAGUUACUAAGUGUUAAGAGCAUCAUUUUGAAACCAAUGCUGACUGUAGGCUGACAUGCAAAAAGGGUUUUAAAAUGUCUUCAUGAUUUUGAGUAUCUGCACUCCAACAUCAAUUUAGUUUUUUGAAUAUGUAUAGGUUUAACCUCAUUUUAGUCUGAAAGCCAAGUUCACCACCACUCUGCUCCCUGAUGAUCCCGGGCAGAUUCUGACCAGGGAUGCAGAAAUUACCCACAGCCCAGCAAAAACCAGUGGGGCCAUCUAGUGGUCUCUGCCUCAGCAUCCCCAGUCCCAUCUCACAAUAACCAGUGACAGCAAAGCAAAGAGCACUGGAAGCAGAGCAACAAGCCCCAGUCUGACUUUCACCAAUACCCAUGUGUCCUGUUCUAUGCUGUUCUAUAGACUUCCUUGUUUUAAAUACAAUGGGAAAGUAGUGCACAUGAAAGUGGAAUAUGGGAUCUGGAAAUUUCACUUUGCACUGGGAAACAUGCAUAGCUGCAGGAGUAUUCAACCCCAGGAUAUUCAUGCUUUCAGAAACAGAACUUUCAAGUUUAAAGAAAUGCUCUGUUUUAAACAUUCAACUCAUCCUCAGUUAAGACAAUGUAUGAAAUAUUUUGAAAUGUGUUUUUCCCUCACACUAAGCUAGUUUCGGGAUGCUUUGGGUUGGGUUUGGUUAUUUUUUUUUUCAAUUCUCACUAAAUUAUUUUCAAAUCUAUUUCAGAAUUUGAAGAUGAAUUAAAAUUUUGUAUGUUUUUUAAUGGUAAUGCUUUGACAGAAGUAUCAAAAUAAAAAAUCACCAAAAAGUUGUCCAUUAUUGACACAAUCAAACACUCAGAAGUACUAACAUACAUACACAGUGCAAACCCCAUAAAUAAGACCAUUAAAAUUAUUUUUAGUUCUUUUUAAUAAACUUAACAUAUAGAACUCCAAUUACUGACAUCAACUUUCCCCAUCUCUAAAAAAGGUAAUUUAGUUAUGUAAUAGUCACCCUUAAAAGGCUCUUUCCAGUUGGGUUAGACCUCUGCCUCACUCAUAGGACCUGCCAAAACCAAUUUCAGGGCAAAUUUCCCUGCUCAGUUCACCUACGUUGGGUUGGACCAAGAACUUCACAAGUAACCCCAUGACCUUCAUCUUAAACGCUGCUUUAAAUCUUGUAAAAUAAUUAACAGUAAACAGAACUGAUGAGGUAUUAUAAUUAAGAACACAUUCUUGUUCUCCAAGUUAUUAUACAUCAAAAGAAUGCCAUAAGAAUGGCCAAAAUAUUAAUAGCAGCCUCUACACUUUUGAAAUUUACAUUUGCUUUAGAAGAUUUCCCAGCAUUUGUUUAUUUAUGAAUUAAGGCACAUUUUGCUAAGAAAUUUCAAUAAUGUUACAAAAAUACAGUCCUCCAUGAAGACAUAUGCAGUGAUCCUACACUUGAGGUAGAUACUGAAAAACCCUUUUUUCUCCUAGGUGACACGAGUUUAACAUUCCUUCUGUAAAAUGAAUUAGGCAUCCACCCGUUUUUCAAGCUUCUGUUAUCUACUAGUUACUUUGGUUUGGUUUCCAAGCUCUGUUAUUUUGGUCAUGAUAAAUCAGGGACCGGGGUAGUUCUGUAAUCCUGACAAAGUUUCCUUCAAACCACUGGUAACAUGCUGACACUCCAUGCCAUCCAUUCCCAACCUGCCUAAAGGUUCAAGGCAACAAUUACAAAAUAUCUGAGUUUACAAAGUUUUUAUCUUCAGCUUUUUUGCAAUUAUUUGUUGCUGUAUUAAAAGAUCACAGCAACAGUAGACAUCCCUUAUGGCCAAACCCAUGGCUUCAGCCAUUUCAGCUCCAUUGUAACCCUGCAUUCGUUACAGUGUGAGACUGAAGCCAAACACAUAUAAUACCCAUGCAUAAGACACCAAUACAUUUACAAACUAUUCCAGAAUGGAAUCUGAGGUUUAAACUCCUAACUGAGGUGACCUAUUUGGGAAAGGGAAUUCACUCCAACAGAGGGAGCUGAAUGGACAAAAUGAGGUUCUGAGUAAACCAAACCUCAAUUUCUACACUUCAAAGUUCAUUAAAGAAAGGCUUUAUUCUCAACAACAUCCCUGGUAACUUUUACACCGGAGGAAAGAAGCGCCCUUUGUUGGCAGCUAAAUCCAUUAUUUUAUUCUGUACCAUCUUUAGCAGGAACUAAGCACUCUGGACAGCCCUAAAUCUGCUUUUACCACCAUUAGAUGUUCCUUAAGCAGAGCAGUAAAAGCACAACUCAUGUAGAUUUGGGUAUUUUUAGGUAAGAAAGGCUAUUUGCCAGGUUUGUCAGAUUUCAAGGUUAAUUCCAGAUAAGAUGUCAUUUUAGUCACAAAUGCACUCUUUUGUGGGUAUUAUUUUUAAAUAAUAGAUUUUAUUAAGCAAAAUAUGCCAACUUUAAUAAAGCUCCUGGUGUUUUUGAAUCCACACGCUGGAAUGCUUUCACAACUGUUCUUUGAAAUAACUUCUUUUGUAGACAACUAUUUUAACUAAGUCAUUUAAGGGUAUCACAUUCACCUCUUCCUUUAGGUAAGGAUCAUAAAUCAGAAAAGAAUGGUAAUUACUCAGAAUGUAACUGAAAAGUCAAAGUUCUAUUCAAAGAGCCAGAUCUUACAAUAGCUAAUUUACAACCCAAUGAAAAAACAAAAAUGCACACAGAAAGAUGUAGCAAUCACACAAAGAUUAAUAUUAAAAUGGAACAUGAGUCACAUGUUUAGAGAUUCUAUCAGGUGACUGGGGCUAGGAAGGCAUCAGUGGAUAGCAUAGGAAGAGAUUUGAGGAAUAGCUGGAGAAGAAACAUAUCAAAAAAUAUACUGCUCGACACACACCUGCAGUGGGAAAAACAGCUUAAGAUUUCUGAAAGAAUGAAGUAAUAAAACUUACAGACCACAGUGGUAGAAGAAAUUAAUUACUUAUCAAAACUGAAUUUGUGUACACACAUUAAAAACUUAAUUCCUCAAAGUCCAUGAACUCUUUUGCUUCAUCUUUUUCUACUUCUUUUGCUUCAGGACUGAAAACCCAAGUGAUGAAAUUAAAAUUGUUCCAAAAUUAAAUGGACCCAGAAGCAGCAGGAAGCCAGACUAAGCCUGGCAAGGUUUGCACCUUCUACCACAUAUUCCUUUUCAAAAGGGCUCUACAUCAGUCUCCACACCAUGGAGUGGAAGAGAAGCACAGGACUUUGGAGUACAAAACCAGCUUCUCUCCCAGCACCUGAGGCAGAGCAGAAGGCAGUGGCUGCUGGAGGGCUCUACUAACAAACACAGCCAUGGGACAAUUAAAAUUCCCUGUCAUUUAGCCACUAAAAUGAGUGGAUUUGCAUUUUGGAACAACAUUUUCCCAAGCUAUCUGAAGCCUAACGAAGGCCUUGUUCAAUCAGGUAGCAUGUCAGACUAAAAGAAACUGUCUCUUAAAGAAAAGCAUAUAUUCCAAAGCACAGUACAACAGGAAUAGAGCUUCACAUAAAAAAAAAAAGUUAAUCCAUGUAUACAAAAUGCAAUGGAUGCCCUAAUUAAAUAUGCAGAAUCGAGGAGUCUGAAUUUUAAGCAGAGAAAAAGACAAAAGGAUUUGUGUAUUUCCACAAGCAACUCCCAACUAAGUCACAAAAGGUGACUUUGUUGUGCCAGAGACAACAAAAGGUCAAGACCAAAUUCUUUUUAGUUAAGGAAAUGGGAAAAAAAUUCUGUCCCUAUAUUCAUGCAGUAUAGAACUGAAUUAAUUUACCUACUCAAGCCUGCCAAUUUUAUGUUUUGACUAUAUGAGGAAUGAUUUCAAGUCUAUCAGCUAGCAGUUUAAUUUAAAAAAAUACUGGCAUUUAUCAUUUUGUGCAAAGCCAGAGCUUUAUGAAUGAAGAACAGAAACAGAACAAUUGUAGAACAGGAGACAGUAACUGUCUGCUCAAAGGCUCCCACUGAUCCUGACAGAAGCAUAAGGACAACACAAGAUGCUUGUACAGCAAGUUCUUCCUGCUAUACUUUCCACACCAUUUGUUAUCCAAAUUGUGUGUAGUACCUCUCUAGAGACAGACAUCUGCAUACCAAAAACCCUUCUGAACAAGCACAACUAUGAUAUAGAAGUUCUCAGUGAAAUCUGGAGUCAAAUCUUGGAAGCCCCCAGAACUCCAAUCAGAUCUGAAAGCUGUUCUGCAGCCAGCCAGGGAGAGAGCCCUGCCCAAGUGCUGCUCACUCCCCCAGAGCCCACAGGAAUGAUCCAGGGGCCUUUCAGCUUUUCUGAAACGCACAUGCACACAUGGCCACACACUAAUGACCUUCAGAAUGUACAGCCAAAGCCUUCAGCCACUUAAACAUUACAGCCAUGUGUGGUCACUGGGGUGUUUGUAAAAGCUAAAAAGUAAAUGUUAUUAGGAAUAACAACUUACCAGUGCUUCAACCAAGAGCAGCUAUUUUGCUUACAGUGAGUAAAUCAAUUCCUCAACAUAUCUGUAGGGAAAAUAGGAUAUUAAAACAAUUUAAUUAAAAUAAAUUUAAAAAUAAAAGAGAUCUAGACCUUAAGGUCUACAAGAUUAAGCAUUAGCUUUUAUUACAAAAGCCCUCAUUAAAAAAAAAAAAAA